Molecule: long non-coding RNA, 280 nt
Filed under: Bos taurus (domestic cattle)
Lineage: Eukaryota; Metazoa; Chordata; Mammalia; Artiodactyla; Bovidae
Description: long non-coding RNA NONBTAT016522
Source: RNAcentral
GAUUCAUUUUCCUUUAUUCAGUUAAAAAUAGUACAAUAUUUCCUGAUUUUAAAACCACAUUUUAAAAAUUAUUUACACUAUUCAAAACCACACCAGGAAAUGCACCAAAAAAUAAUACUCUAUAAAUAUUCAGCAAGUCCUUUAUCCUUGGCUUAUUUGGCUGCUUUCAUUUCAUUAAACACAUCAUUGCAAUACUAGUGAGUUAAUGCCAUAAUCCAUUAUCUUCCAUCUUUUAAGUCUGUAGCCAUUUCUUAAUUUACCACCACAUUGACAUUCCAAG